UACGUAGGGAGCAAGCGUUGUCCGGAAUCAUUGGGCGUAAAGCGCGCGUAGGUGGCUUCAUAAGUCCGUUGUGAAAGUCAAAGGCUCAACCUUGGGAUGCCGGUGGAUACUGCUGAGCUAGAGUACGGAAGAGGCGAGUGGAAUUCCCGGUGUAGCGGUGAAAUGCGCAGAUAUCGGGAGGAACACCUAUUGCGAAGGCAGCUCGCUGGGACGUCACUGACGCUGAGACGCGAAAGCGUGGGGGAGCAAACAGG
RNAcentral lists this ribosomal RNA (254 nucleotides) under uncultured bacterium. RNAcentral describes it as "partial 16S ribosomal RNA". It matches the Rfam family "Bacterial small subunit ribosomal RNA", at positions 524 to 776 of the family's 1533-position model. The record is from RNAcentral.